This 550-nucleotide ribosomal RNA is filed under the name uncultured bacterium. RNAcentral's name for it is "bacterial SSU rRNA". It matches the Rfam family "Bacterial small subunit ribosomal RNA", at positions 355 to 896 of the family's 1533-position model. The record is from RNAcentral.
UAGGGAAUCUUCGGCAAUGGACGGAAGUCUGACCGAGCAACGCCGCGUGAGUGAAGAAGGUUUUCGGAUCGUAAAGCUCUGUUGUAAGAGAAGAACGAGUGUGAGAGUGGAAAGUUCACACUGUGACGGUAUCUUACCAGAAAGGGACGGCUAACUACGUGCCAGCAGCCGCGGUAAUACGUAGGUCCCGAGCGUUGUCCGGAUUUAUUGGGCGUAAAGCGAGCGCAGGCGGUUAGAUAAGUCUGAAGUUAAAGGCUGUGGCUUAACCAUAGUACGCUUUGGAAACUGUUUAACUUGAGUGCAGAAGGGGAGAGUGGAAUUCCAUGUGUAGCGGUGAAAUGCGUAGAUAUAUGGAGGAACACCGGUGGCGAAAGCGGCUCUCUGGUCUGUAACUGACGCUGAGGCUCGAAAGCGUGGGGAGCAAACAGGAUUAGAUACCCUGGUAGUCCACGCCGUAAACGAUGAGUGCUAGGUGUUAGACCCUUUCCGGGGUUUAGUGCCGCAGCUAACGCAUUAAGCACUCCGCCUGGGGAGUACGACCGCAAGGUUG